Molecule: long non-coding RNA, 353 nt
Organism: Alosa alosa (allis shad)
Lineage: Eukaryota; Metazoa; Chordata; Actinopteri; Clupeiformes; Clupeidae
Exons: 2
Source: RefSeq, a predicted model, not a curated record
GGGGGGAUCUAUGUUAGGCAUCAGAAAGGUGGUUUAAGCAAGAAGGAAAGAGCUUCUGCAGACAGUGUUGCAAUUAGACACCUGACUGUUACUGCCAAAGGGACCAUCAGAGCACCUCUCCCUACCAUCUAUACCAGAAGAGUACGGACAAGGGCCCAAAAUGUUUUAAAGGACGUUGCACGCCCAGACCAUGGACUGUUUAAACCACUGUGGUCAAGCAGAAGUCUCUGUUCUCACUCGAGGCAGGUCAUUGAGAGGGGGCGAGUGUCACUGUGUAAGCCCCCUACUGCAGGCGAGAAAGCCAUGUUGAUUUGAAUAUUGAUUGAUAAAUACAAUAAAGGCCAUGUAACAAA